Molecule: ribosomal RNA, 461 nt
Filed under: uncultured bacterium
Lineage: Bacteria
Description: partial 16S ribosomal RNA
Rfam family: Bacterial small subunit ribosomal RNA
Source: RNAcentral
CCUACGGGUGGCAGCAGUGAGGAAUAUUGGUCAAUGGACGAGAGUCUGAACCAGCCAAGUAGCGUGAAGGAUGACUGCCCUAUGGGUUGUAAACUUCUUUUAUAUGGGAAUAAAAUGUUCCACGUGUGGGAUUUUGUAUGUACCAUAUGAAUAAGGAUCGGCUAACUCCGUGCCAGCAGCCGCGGUAAUACGGAGGAUCCGAGCGUUAUCCGGAUUUAUUGGGUUUAAAGGGAGCGUAGGUGGAUUGUUAAGUCAGUUGUGAAAGUUUGCGGCUCAACCGUAAAAAUUGCAGUUGAAACUGGCAGUCUUGAGUACAGUAGAGGUGGGCGGAAUUCGUGGUGGAGCGGUGAAAUGCUUAGAUAUCACGAAGAACUCCGAUUGCGAAGGCAGUUCACUGGACUGCAACUGACACUGAGGCUCGAAAGUGUGGGUAUCAAACAGGAUUAGAUACCCGUGUAGUC